AGCCUCCUGGUGCUUACCACAGACUGUGUUCUUACACUGACUGUACAGAAAGAGGAGGCAGAGUAAAUCCACCCAUGUACACCCCGGCCCAAGUGCUUUGCCUGGUCUGGAUUGUGAAUGGGGGGACAUGG
Suricata suricatta (meerkat) is the source of this 131-nucleotide small nucleolar RNA. The record is from Ensembl. NCBI's taxonomy places the organism in Eukaryota, Metazoa, Chordata, Mammalia, Carnivora, Herpestidae.